UAGGAAGUUAGUUUAUGGUCAAUUGUAUUUUUUUAGGUAACGAUGGAAUUGGAUUUUUUGUAGGCAUUUUAUAUUGGUGUUUAGAAAUUUAUGUUAUUUUUAGAUUUAUAGGAAGUGAAGUAAUGGUUAAUUCAAGUUGUAAAAGUCCAUUUUUGCCCGGGCCCAUACCAACAAAAUAACCCAAAUAAUAAAACCCAAAACCUAAAAUCAACCUAGCCCAACAUCCAAGCCCAAUCCCAAAACCCUAGACUCCCACUUGCCUCUUCCCAUUCUCCCAUGUUGUCUGCCACCAGCACCACUCCCACUCUCCCAUGCUGUCUGCCACCACCAUGCCUUUUGCCGCACCUGCAAACAAGCAAAGGAAAAGGACAAAAAAUGGAGCAAUAAACAUUAACAGAAUAUUGUAUUUUUGGCUAUAAAAGCCACAAGCAAAAUCGGACCAAAAAAAAAAAAGAAGAGAAACAAAAAAAAAGAGAAGGGGACUUUUGUAACAAAAAAGAGAAGAUUCGGCUUUUGAAAAAAUUGAAAGAAAUAAAAAAGGGGCUUUAGAAGGUGAUUCACCUUGUUUUUUUUCGUUUUCUUUAUUUUCGUUCUAUUUCGGUUUUUCUAUAGUAUUUCUUUCUCUUUUUUAUUAUCAACACACAUAUAUAUAAGAUAAAAAAAAUAAAAGUAAAAAGGAGUUUACCUGUUUCCGGCGGCGGUGGAAAGAGGAAGAACCGAAAGGUCUCUUUCGAUUUUGGCCCUUUUCGCCGGGAUUUCGGCUUUUCUAACCCCAGAUCUGGACCCUAUUCGCAAAAAGGAGAAAAAGGGAGCUUUUUUUGGUUUUCCAGCCACCGCGAACGGCGGCGUCGUCACCGGCGUCCGGCGACCGGUGCGGUGGUCGAUGGCCGGCAAAGGGGGCUCUUCCUCUCUUUUUACGGACACAAGAACAAUAAAAACAUAAACUUUGAAUCGGAGAAGUAAUUUUCAUUUCUUUAUUUUUGUGUGUUUUUACAUCUAGUUUGAUUUCUUUUUAUUUCUUUCUACUUACGAAAAUAAAAACAAAAGAAAUAAGGAGAGGAGAAACUCACCGGAGUUGGCCGUGACCGUGCCGCCGGGGUUUUUCUUCCAUCGUCGGCCGUCGGUCUUGGUGGCGUGGUGGCACUCAAGGUGUUAAGAAACCCAAGUGUUGGGUGUUUAAAAAAAAUGGUGGUUUGAAAAAAAGCAGAGCCUUUUUCCUCUAGCAAAUUCAAAAAGUGAAAGAAUAAAAAUAUAAAACAUUUUUUGUCUUUUUUUUCAAUCAUGAACGGUGCAUUAGUGGGAAAUCUUGCACAUGCUUGUCCUUAAUGGGUAAUUUAUGCAUUUAGUCCCUCCAUCUUGCGUUGAAAUGCAAUCAAACCUUUUAUUUUUUUUGAUUUGGGCCGCGAGUUUUGUUUCUGUUUCAAUCAGGUCCUUUGACCAUGUAUGGUCCUUUGCGCUGAAACGUUGCACUCUAGGACUAGGGAAUAUUUCCCUUUUCAGUCCUUCCCUUUUCGCGCGCCUCACAUUUUAAUCCUUUACUCUAUUUCAUUUUUGAUUUCAGCCCUGAGAUUUCGUUUCCGUUUUGAUUUAGUCCUAUUAUUAUUAUUAUUAUUAUUAUUAUUAUUAUUAUUAUUAUUACCUAUUUGUUUAUAUUUAUUUUAUUUAAUUUUCGGCACAUAUAUACAUAUACAUGCAUAUAUUUUUGUGAUAUACAUACAUUGUUUUUAUAACAUAUAUACUUAUAUAGUUUAUAUAUUUUACAACUUAUGUACAUAUCUAUAUAUCUAUAUAUAUAUUUUCAUUUUCCUAAAUAUAUACAUAUUUAUAUAUAAUCUUUAUAGUUUAAAAUAUACUUUUUUUAUAAAUCCGUAUAUACACACAUAUUACUAUUAAUUUAUAUACAUACAUAUCCUUUUAUUUUAUAAGUAUAUAUAUUUUAUAUGCACGUACAUACAUAUUUUUGUAUAUCUUAAUUUACAUAAAUAUAUAUAUACAUUUUCAAUAUAUUUUUUUAACAUGUAUCAAAAUUAACGUGUUUAUUCGUAUACAUACAUAUAUUUUCAUUAUUUUUAAACUUUAAUUUGUACAUACAUACUUUCUUUUAUUUUUUAACAUAUAUAUGUACUUACUUUUAUAUGUAUUUUAUUAUUUUCAUAUUCCAUAGUUUUAUACACCCAUAUAUAUGUACAUAUUUUUAUAUAUACACAUUUAUCGUUUCUUUUAUAUAUUAAAACAUACUUUAUACAUUUUGUUAAUUUAUAUAUAUACAUAUUUUAGUUUAUGUCUAUAUAUAUCUUUUUAUAUUUAAUGGUAUUUGUUACUUAUUUAUUUCAUUUUCGUCAUUAUGAAUGUUUUAAUUUAUUUGUUUAUAUAUAUUGUUAUUUUAUAUGAUUGUAGGUAUGACUUCUAUUUAUUUUAUAUUGUUGCUAUUGCUCGUAUUAUUUUUUAUUUUUAUGUGUAUUAUGAUUUUACCACGUAUAACAACAAUGUAAUUUGCUUUCACAUUUUUUACUACGAUUUUCGUGUUUUAUUUUACUCGAUAUAACAAAAUUUGUUUUAAAAAUAUUUCGUGUUUAGAUUCGAAAGGAUCGUACUCUAACUUACUGGGUUUCGAUUUUCAUAAUAAAUCUAAAUACACGAAUCUUUUCAAACUCAAGUUUUUAAACGAUCUCGGGAAUUAAGAAAAGAUCGUGCCCUAACUUACUGGGCCUGAUUUAUUUCUAAAACCAAGAUAAUAAAAUAUCUUUUAAAUAAGCAUUUUUCAUCCGCGUAUCGGGAAUUUGAGACAUUGUGUCCUAACUUACUAGAUAUGAUUCUCUUUCUCGAAUAACGUGAAAUAUCCCCUUUUUCCUGAAAAUUUUUAACGUUUUAAUACAAGGGUCGUAUUUUUAAAAUUCUUCAAGGUUCUCAAUUUUUGACAUUAAGACAUUAAGUAAUCAACUAGGUACCAAUUUUGGGCGUAUCGAGGGUGCUAAUCCUUCCUCGUGCGUAACCGACUCCCGAACCCGUUUUUCUAAAUUUCGUGGACCAAACUUGUUGUUUUAAUAAAAUCAAACCGUUUAUUAAAAACAACCCCUCUUUGAGGUGAUCCAAUCGCACCUCAUAAAAAAAGAGGAUUACAUUGCUCGGUUCGUCUCACAACUGACAGAUAAAUGUGAUCCAGUAUUCCGGCUCUUAAAGAAACAUAAUCCGGGUGAAUGGGAUGAAGAGUGUCAGAGGGCUUUCGAUAAGAUAAAGCAGUACUUGGCUAAUACCCUAGUCUUAUCACCUCCAAGUCCAGAUAGGCCAUUGAUAUUGUAUCUAACAGUGUUGGAGAAUUCCAUGGGAUGCGUAUUGGGCCAACAUGAUGAGACAGGAAAGAAAGAAAGGGCAAUAUACUACCUCAGUAAAAAAUUUACCGAUUGCGAAAUUAGGUACUCAUCAAUUGAGAAGUUGUGUUGCGCUCUAAUCUGGGCAACCCGAAGACUGAGGCAGUAUAUGUUGUAUCACACGACUUGGCUGAUUUCAAAGUUAGAUCCUUUAAAGUAUAUGAUGGAAUCGACUGCUUUGAACGGGAGAAUGGCUAGAUGGCAGAUCUUGCUUUCAGAAUUUGAUAUAGUAUAUGUCAGUCAGAAGGCCAUAAAGGGAAGUGCAAUAGCCGAUUUCCUAGCUAGUAGAGCCUUGGAGGACUAUGAAUCUUUGAAUUUUGAUUUUUCAAACGAGGACUUGAUGUAUGUGGCGAAUACUGAAGAAAAUCCUCAAAUGGAUCACGUAUGGAAGUUAAAUUUUGAUGGAGCUUCAAAUGCUACGGGUAAUGGAGUUGGGGCAGUUUUGGUAUCCCCAAGUGGAGAUCAUUAUCCUGUUGCUAGCAAGUUGGACUUCGAUUGUACAAAUAACAUGGCAGAAUAUGAAGCAUGUAUUAUGGGCAUUCGUGCAGCCAUUGAACGGAACAUCAAAGUACUGAGAGUAUACGGGGAUUCAGCGUUGGUGAUAUACCAACUCAAAGGGGAGUGGGAGACUAGGGAUCCUAAGCUAAUCGGUUAUAGAAAAUUAGUUCUUGAAUUGGCUGAGGAGUUUGACGAUAUCACCUUCUAUUACCUCCCAUGGGAGGAAAACCAAAUGGCUGAUGCUUUAGCUACUCUAGCUUCGAUGAUUCAGGUGAAUAGACUUGAGGCAAUGAGGCCUGUUCAGAUGAGUAUCUCUGAGACCCCGGCUAAUUGCUGCAAUAUUGAGGAGGAGGGAAAAGAUGAUUGUCCUUGGUAUCAGAGUAUCCUACAAUAUGUGAAGAAUCGGGAAUACCCUGAUCAAGCGACAGAGAAUGACAAAAGAACUCUGAGAAAGAUAGCCAUUGAAUAUGUCUUAGAUGGAGAAGUGUUAUAUAAAAGAAGGAAGGAUCAAGUACUGUUAAGGUGUGUGGAUGCUGUGGAAGCCAAGAAAAUUUUGGAAGAAGUCCAUGAGGGUAUUUGUGGGACGCACGCCAGUGGUUUCACGAUGGCCAGACAGAUCAUGAGAUUUGGGUACUAUUGGCCCACCAUGGAAGGAGAUUGUAUUGAUUAUGCCAGGAAGUGCCACAAAUGCCAAAUUUACGGAGACAAAAUACACGUGCCCCCUUCACCUCUUCACGUCAUGACCUCUCCUUGGCCGUUUUCCAUGUGGGGUAUGGAUGUUAUUGGGCCAAUAUCACCAAAGGCUUCUAAUGGGCAUCGCUUCAUCUUCGUAGUAAUUGAUUACUUUACUAAGUGGGUGGAGGCUGCUUCAUAUGCAAAUGUCACGAAAGCAGUAGUCAGCAAAUUCUUGAAGAAGGAGAUCAUUUGUCGAUAUGGAAUGCCUGAGAGGAUCAUAUCCGACAAUGCGAUGAACUUGAAUAAUAGCACAAUAGCUGAAGUUUGUAGCAAAUUUAAAAUUAAGCAUCAUAACUCAUCGCCGUAUCGUCCCAAAAUGAAUGGUGCAGUGGAGGCGGCCAAUAAGAACAUUAAAAGGAUUGUGGGGAAAAUGACUGAAACCUACAAGGAUUGGCAUGAGAAAUUAUCAUUUGCUCUCCUUGCCUAUCGAACAUCUGUUAGAACUUCUACUGGGGCAACGCCUUUUUCUCUGGUUUAUGGAAUGGAGGCAGUAUUACCCAUUGAAGUUGAAAUCCCUUCUCUACGGGUGUUAUCUGAGCUACAGUUGGAUGAAGCCGAUUGGAUCCAAUCUCGGUACGAUCAGUUGAACCUAAUAGAAGAAAAGAGGCUAAAAGCUAUUCACCAUGGGCAAAUGUACCAGAAACGAAUGAUGCGAGCCUAUAAUAAAAAGGUUCGCCCCCGAGAAUUUCGUGAAGGGGACUUGGUACUAAAAAAGAUUCUUCCUAUGCAAAAGGAUUUUAGAGGAAAAUGGAUGCCAAAUUGGGAAGGCCCUUAUGUUGUAAAGAAGGCCUUUUCUGGUGGAGCUUUGAUCCUAUGCGAGAUGGAUGGCAAAAGUUUACCAAAUCCUGUAAACGCAGACUCCGUCAAGAAAUACUUCACUUGAAAGAAAGAGGAACCAAAGUGAAAACCCGUGAAGGGCGCUUUGCUUCCUAAAAAAAAAAAAACUUUAGAGAGGCUAAGGUGAAAACCCGUAAAGGGCACUUUGAGACCAAAGAGGGCUUGAGUCGAAAACCCGGAAAAGGCGACUCAAGUACUGGGCAGGAUUGGAACAUCAGGAUUUGAGCGGAUCAAAUUUUGAUCGGGGGCAUAUGAUUAUCUUGCUUUACUUGAACCAAUAAGAAAGGAUAUGCAACGUCUUGGAUCAUGGACAGAGUAUUGCAGAUCUCCUGAACACAUGUCAAACUCAGAAGGGUCUUCGGAAAGUUUGUACAGAGAAACUCAAGCUGCGAUAACUAGGGCACCUAGUUCUUAUGUGUAUUCUUGAAAAUACAUUCUUUUAUUUUCUUUCUUUCUUCCUUUCUUUUUGUGAAAACGCACAUUCUCAAUCCACUUCUUUGUUAACCUUCUUUCGCCAUCUUUGAUGUUUUAUUCGAGUUAUGAUCGGAACUAGCUUUAUUCUUAUCCAGUGUUGUGAUCUUUUUGCAAAUAUGUUGCAUAGGAAUAAUGAUUAACAAACUAAUAAAACUUUCAGGAAAGAAGUUUUGCACAUUACUCUGGAAAAUUUCUAAAUAAUAUAGGGACCUGAAACAUGACUAUUGUUUAGAAAAUACCAAGUUUAAAGGGUGAAAUAUCUAAGAAGGAAGAGUCUAAGUUAAAGACUAUCCUUUCAGAUUUUGUUGUCUAAACAUUGAUUGAACAAAAUGACAAGCUGUCGUGUUACAAAGCUUAAAUGAACAAGCAAGCAAUGAUCAUCAGGCAAUAGGAAGAGGUUACCUCGGAGAAGAGAGCCUUCACUUGCGCAUAAGACUUUGGUACGACACCUUGAGAAUGGUGUAGGAAACCAGAACGGUUCAGAUCCUAUAUCCCCGAAUUGUGAUAAAAGAGGACAGAGGAAAAGCCACAUAUUUCUACCCUUAGAUUACUGUGAGAGAAUGAUGGUACAAAUUUUGGCAUCCCAGUGGAUAUAACUUUGAGGUUUACAAUGGGGACAGUCUGGCUAAAUGUUUCUUCAGAAAAGUCAGUCAAGCGAGAAGGCGUUGAAGCACGUCAGUCACAAAGCCUUAGUAAACUUCGAGUAAUGACAACCUAAGCGAGAUCAUUCUCGGAAAAAUAAAAUUCUGCAUUCAUGCAAACACCAUUCACAUAUGUCUAGUUAGGAGCAUUUGUUUCAUUUUGAUCAUGUCAUCCUAAUCAUUAGGCAUAAUUAGGUUUAUUAUACAGGUCUUAUCUCCCUGAGUUUACAGUGGAGUAGACCGAAAAAUUUCAGAUCUUAUCUCCCUGAGGUUACAGUGGAGCAGAUUGAAGCCAGAGAUCUUAUCUCUCUGAAAUUACAGCGGAGUAGAUUGAAGCUAGUAAUCCUAUCUCUCUGAAGUUACAGUGGAGCGGAUUAAAAUAAAGGAUCUUAUCUCUCUGAAGUUACAGUAGAGUAGAUCACAUCAGAUUGAAGCCAGAGAUCUUAUCUCCCUGAGAUUACAGUGGAACAGACCGAAAAAUUUCAGAUCUUAUCUCCCUGAGGUUACAGUGGAGCAGAUUGAAGCCAGAGAUCUUAUCUCUCUGAAAUUACAGCGGAGUAGAUUGAAGCUAGUAAUCCUAUCUCUCUGAAGUUACAGUGGAGCGGAUUAAAAUAAAGGAUCUUAUCUCUCUGAAGUUACAGUAGAGUAGAUCACAUCAGAUUGAAGCCAGAGAUCUUAUCUCCCUGAGAUUACAGUGGAACAGACCGAAAAAUUUCAGAUCUUAUCUCCCUGAGGUUACAGUGGAGCAGAUUGAAGCCAGAGAUCUUAUCUCUCUGAAAUUACAGCGGAGUAGAUUGAAGCUAGUAAUCCUAUCUCUCUGAAGUUACAGUGGAGCGGAUUAAAAUAAAGGAUCUUAUCUCUCUGAAGUUACAGUAGAGUAGAUCACAUCAGAUUGAAGCCAGAGAUCUUAUCUCCCUGAUGUUGCAGUGGAACAGACUGAAAACAUAAAUUUCGUUCCCUUGCGAAGGAGAUUAAAGCUACAAAUUAGAUCGAAGCAACAAGGCACAGUGGACGGAAUAAGGCUACCUGAAGAAGAGAAGUGUCAAAAAAAAGUCAAGACUCGGCAAGACCAGGCAAAAUUGGCCCUUUUGAUGUCUUUGCUCUAUUCUCGUUACACGAAAAUGAGCAAAGAGGGGCAACUGUAAAAGUCCAUUUUUGCCCGGGCCCAUACCAACAAAAUAACCCAAAUAAUAAAACCCAAAACCUAAAAUCAACCUAGCCCAACAUCCAAGCCCAAUCCCAAAACCCUAGACUCCCACUUGCCUCUUCCCAUUCUCCCAUGUUGUCUGCCACCAGCACCACUCCCACUCUCCCAUGCUGUCUGCCACCACCAUGCCUUUUGCCGCACCUGCAAACAAGCAAAGGAAAAGGACAAAAAAUGGAGCAAUAAACAUUAACAGAAUAUUGUAUUUUUGGCUAUAAAAGCCACAAGCAAAAUCGGACCAAAAAAAAAAGAAGAGAAACAAAAAAAAGAGAAGGGGACUUUUGUAACAAAAAAGAGAAGAUUCGGCUUUUGAAAAAAUUGAAAGAAAUAAAAAAGGGGCUUUAGAAGGUGAUUCACCUUGUUUUUUUUUCGUUUUCUUUAUUUUCGUUCUAUUUCGGUUUUUCUAUAGUAUUUCUUUCUCUUUUUUAUUAUCAACACACAUAUAUAUAAGAUAAAAAAAAUAAAAGUAAAAAGGAGUUUACCUGUUUCCGGCGGCGGUGGAAAGAGGAAGAACCGAAAGGUCUCUUUCGAUUUUGGCCCUUUUCGCCGGGAUUUCGGCUUUUCUAACCCCAGAUCUGGACCCUAUUCGCAAAAAGGAGAAAAAGGGAGCUUUUUUUUGGUUUUCCGGCCACCGCGAACGGCGGCGUCGUCGCCGGCGUCCGGCGACCGGUGCGGUGGUCGAUGGCCGGCAAAGGGGGCUCUUCCUCUCUUUUUACGGACACAAGAACAAUAAAAACAUAAACUUUGAAUCGGAGAAGUAAUUUUCAUUUCUUUAUUUUUGUGUGUUUUUACAUCUAGUUUGAUUUCUUUUUAUUUCUUUCUACUUACGAAAAUAAAAACAAAAGAAAUAAGGAGAGGAGAAACUCACCGGAGUUGGCCGUGACCGUGCCGCCGGGGUUUUUUCUUCCAUCGUCGGCCGUCGGUCUUGGUGGCGUGGUGGCACUCAAGGUGUUAAGAAACCCAAGUGUUGGGUGUUUAAAAAAAAUGGUGGUUUGAAAAAAAGCAGAGCCUUUUUC
RNAcentral lists this long non-coding RNA (8773 nucleotides) under Gossypium barbadense (sea-island cotton). Its description in RNAcentral is "long non-coding RNA (GBAR_LNC006839)". The record is from RNAcentral. Lineage: Eukaryota; Viridiplantae; Streptophyta; Magnoliopsida; Malvales; Malvaceae.